CUAGGGUAAGGGCCCUAUGGGCUAUGGGCUAGGGUAAGGGCCCUAUGGGCUAUGGGUAAGGGCCCUAUGGGCUAUGGGCUAGGGCCCUAUGGGCUAUGGUAAGGGCCCGUUGGGCUAUGGGUUAGGGCCCUAUGGGCUAUGGUAAGGGCCCGUUGGGCUAUGGGUUAGGGCCCUAUGGGCUAGGGUAAGGGCCCCAUGGGCUAUGGGCUAGGGCCCUAUGGGCUAGGGUAAGGGCCCUAUGGGCUAUGGGUUAGGGCCCUAUGGGCUAGGGUAAGGGCCCUAUGGGCUAUGGGUUAGGGCCCUAUGGGCUAGGGUAAGGGCCCUAUGGGCUAUGGUAAGGGCCCUAUGGGCUAGGGUAAGGGCCCUAUGGGCUAGGGUAAGGGCCCUAUGGGCUAUGGGUUAGGGCCCUAUGGGCUAGGGUAAGGGCCCUAUGGGCUAGGGUAAGGGCCCUAUGGGCUAUGGGUUAGGGCCCUAUGGGCUAGGGUAAGGGCCCUAUGGGCUAUGGGUUAGGGCCCUAUGGGCUAGGGCAGUGCACUACGGAGGGAAUUUGGGUUUGAUUAACCUUAUGUGUUUGUUACAUACAUCAUCAACAGAACGCAACAAGAUAAUGCAUUAACAGACUGUACCGCCAAGAUAAUGCAUUAACAGACUGUACCGCCAAGAUAAUGCAUUAACAGACUGUACCGCCAAGAUAAUGCAUUAACAGACUGUACCGACAAGAUAAUGCAUUAACAGACUGUACCGACAAGAUAAUGCAUUAACAGACUGUACCGACAAGAUAAUGCAUUAACAGACUGUACCGACAAGAUAAUGCAUUAACAGACUGUACCGACAAGAUAAUGCAUUAACAGAACGUAACAACAAGAUAAAGACAACGUCCUGAAGACAUCGUCCUGAAGACAACGUCCUGAAGAAGACAACGUCCUGAAGAUGACAACGUCCUGAAGAAGACAACGUCCUGAAGAAGACAACAUCCUGAAGACGACGUCCUGAAGACAACGUCCUGAAGACAUCGUCCUGAAGAAGACAACAUCCUGAAGACAACGUCCUGAAGAAGACAACGUCCUGAAGAAGACAACGUCCUGAAGAAGACAACGUCCUGAAGAAGACAACGUCCUGAAGAAGACAUCGUCCUGAAGACAUCGUCCUGAAGACAUCGUCCUGAAGAAGACAACGUCCUGAAGACAACGUCCUGAAGACAACGUCCUGAAGACAUCGUCCUGAAGAAGACAACGUCCUGAAGAAGACAACGUCCUGAAGACAACGUCCUGAAGACAACAUCCUGAAGACAACGUCCUGAAGACAACGUCCUGAAGAAGACAACGUCCUGAAGACAACGUCCUGAAGACAACGUCCUGAAGACAUCGUCCUGAAGAAGACAACAUCCUGAAGAAGACAACAUCCUGAAGACGACGUCCUGAAGAAGACAACGUCCUGAAGACAACGUCCUGAAGAAGACAACGUCCUGAAGAAGACAACGUCCUGAAGAAGACAACGUCCUGAAGACAACGUCCUGAAGACAACGUCCUGAAGAAGACAACGUCCUGAAGACAACGUCCUGAAGACAACGUCCUGAAGACAACGUCCUGAAGACAUUGGCCGAGUCUCAAAUGGCACCCUAUUCCCUACAUAGUGCACUAUUUUGUGGACGAAGUCAUUAAGUAGUAAAUCAUGGAAAAGAAAGACCAGAACAGACCAUUAAAGGACCAGUACAGACCAGUACAGACCAUUAAAGGACCAGUACAGACCAGUACAGACCAGUACAGACCAUUAAAGGACCAGUACAGACCAU
RNAcentral lists this long non-coding RNA (1792 nucleotides) under Salmo salar (Atlantic salmon). Its description in RNAcentral is "lncRNA (ENSSSAG00000100390.1)". Lineage: Eukaryota; Metazoa; Chordata; Actinopteri; Salmoniformes; Salmonidae. The record is from RNAcentral.